This 497-nucleotide ribosomal RNA is filed under the name uncultured bacterium. Its description in RNAcentral is "partial 16S ribosomal RNA". It matches the Rfam family "Bacterial small subunit ribosomal RNA", at positions 28 to 507 of the family's 1533-position model. The record is from RNAcentral.
GAUGAACGCUGGCGGCGUGCCUAAUACAUGCAAGUCGAGCGAACAGACGAGGAGCUUGCUCCUCUGACGUUAGCGGCGGACGGGUGAGUAACACGUGGAUAACCUACCUAUAAGACUGGGAUAACUUCGGGAACCCGGAGCUAAUACCGGAUAAUAUAUUGAACCGCAUGGUUCAAUAGUGAAAGACGGUUUUGCUGUCACUUAUAGAUGGAUCCGCGCCGCGUUAGCUAGUUGGUAGGGUAACGGCUUACCAAGGCAACGAUGCGUAGCCGACCUGAGGGGAUGAUCAGUCCAACGGGAACUGAGACACGGUCCCGACGCCUACGGGAGGCAGCAGGGGGGAAGAUUGGAUGAUGGGCGAAAGCCUGAUGCAGCCAUGUCUCGUGUGUGAAGAAGGUAUUAGGAUGGUAAAGAACUUUAAGUUGGGAGGAAGGGCAGUAAGGUAAUACCUUGCUGUUUUGACGUUACCAACAGAAUAAGCACCGGCUAACUUCGUG